GUUUUAAUAGUUUAAAUAAAGCGCUAUUUUGUGGAAAUAGAAAUAUACAAGUAUUUAAGACA
Molecule: transfer RNA, 62 nt
Filed under: Hyalella kochi
Lineage: Eukaryota; Metazoa; Arthropoda; Malacostraca; Amphipoda; Hyalellidae
Description: tRNA-His
Source: RNAcentral